This 1476-nucleotide long non-coding RNA is filed under the name Serinus canaria (Common canary). RNAcentral's name for it is "lncRNA (ENSSCAG00000006991.1)". The record is from RNAcentral. Lineage: Eukaryota; Metazoa; Chordata; Aves; Passeriformes; Fringillidae.
UGGUGUUUUGGGGUUGAAUAAUUGGGAUUUCAGAGAAUAUGUUGGUUGGGGUUGGGGAUUUUUGGGGUUUCUCUGGGGAUAUUUUUGGGGCAAAUUGGGGUUGUUUUUGGGAUGAAUAAUUGGGAUUUCAGGCAAUAUUUGGGGGGAUUUUUUUUGAUUUUUGGGGUUUCUUUGGGGAUAUUUUUGGGUGGGAACUGGGGCUGUUUUUGGGGUGAACCUUUGGGAUUUCAGGGAAUAUUUGGGGGAUUUUUUGGGGAUUUUUGGGGUUUAUUUGGGGAUGUUUUUUGGGGGAAAAUGUUUUUUUUUUGGGAUGAAUAAUUGGGAUUUCAGGGAAUAUUUGGGGGGCUUUUUUUUGGAUUUUUGAGGUUUCUUUGGGGCUUUCUCUGGGGAUAUUUUUGGGGAUUUUUCAGGGGAAUUGGGGUUGAUUUUGGGAUGAAUAGUUGGGAUUUCAGGCAAUAUUUUGGGUUGAUUUUUUUUUUUGAUUUUUGGGGCUUCUCUGGGGAUAUUUUUAGUGGGGAAUUGGGGUUGUUUUUGGGGUGAACCUUUGGUAUUUCAGGGAAUAUUUUGGGGGAUUUUUCUGUGAUUUUGGGGGUUUCCCUGGGGAGUUUUUGGGGAUAUUUUUGGUGGGGAAUUGGGGUUGGUUUUGGGAUGAAUCUUUGGGAUUUCAGGCAAUAAUUUAGGGGGGUUUUUUUGGGAUUUUUGGGGUUUCUUUGGGGAUAUUUUUGGGGUGAACCUUUGGGACUUCAGGGAAUAAUUUGGGGGAUUUUCCUGUGAUUUUGGGGAUCUUUGGGGAUUUUUUUCGUGGGAAUUUGGGCUGUUUUUGGGCUGAAUAAUUUGGAUUUCAGGGAAUAUUUGGGGGAUUUUUUGGGGGAUUUUUGUGGUUUCUCUGGGGAUAUUUUAGGGGUGGGAAUUGGGGCUGGUUUUGGGUUGAACCUUUGGGAUUUCAGGCAAUAAUUUGGGUGUUUUUUCCCCCCAGGAUGUGGCUCAGGAGGAGCCGCAGCUGCCGGAGCCGUCGCGCUGCGCUCUGCCCGCCCUCGGGGCCGCCCUCCUGCACUUCCUGGGGCACCUGCUGGCCAUCCCUGCCUUCCUCCAGCACGUCCAGGAGGUGAUCGAGGCCCGCCAGCUCUCUGCUCCCUUCCUGCUGCCCGAGGAGGCCUUCGGGGACAACCCCAGGUGGGAAUUCCCAAAAACCCCAAAUCCCCCAAAAUUCCCCCUUUUUUGCUCCCAUUUCCCCCUUUCCCCAUUUUCCUGACUUUCCCCCCAUUUUCCCCCCAUUUUCCCCAAUUUCCCCCAAUUUUCCCCCCAUUUUCCCCCCAUUUCCAACAUUUUUCCCACAUUUUCCCCCAUUUUCCCCCCAUUUUCCCCCCAUUUUUCCCCAUUUUUCCCCAUUUUUCCCCAUUUUUCCCCUUUCCUCCCAUUUUCCCCUCAUUUUUCCCCAUUCCCCCCAUUUUUCCACUCUUUUUUCUCCAUUUUCAC